This 5638-nucleotide long non-coding RNA is filed under the name Homo sapiens (human). Its description in RNAcentral is "non-protein coding lnc-BTBD17-1:2". The record is from RNAcentral. Lineage: Eukaryota; Metazoa; Chordata; Mammalia; Primates; Hominidae.
GUGGUUCCCCAAUGCCCCCACCCUUCCGUGGCCCCAGCCAGUGGGGCUCAGCUCUGGCCACCCUGACAUGAAGGGGAAGGUCCAGCAGCCAAACCCCAGGGGCUCUGAAGGAAUCGGCCUGUGGGUAGGAGAUGCCGGGUACCUGCUUUUGUUUCUUUUUAAAUUUCCCCCAGGUGGUUCUGUUGUGCUACCAGGAUGCCAAAUCCCCCAGGCCCCUUAACCUUUGUAGGAGCACACGCUCAAAAGCAAUCGCUGCAGUCAGCCUGCACACGGCUCCCCCACAGAGGCCCAAACACACCUGGCCACACACUGCACACGUGCUCACAGCACCCCACACUCACACCCACGCCGGGACCUGGCUCCCUGAGGACCUGGAUGCACAAGGAGGGACAUGCGCGUGACCUUCAAGCUGAGGGUGGGAUCGCACUGCUCGAACAUGAAGUCCCAGAUAUCCAGGGUUCCGUCCAUCCUGGUGGUAAAGAAAACGGUCGGCCUCACGGGGCUCCAGGCAGCAUCAGUGAGGAGGAGGACAAGGGAGACCCAGGUUCUACGACACAGGUCCACCAAGUCCCUCUAGGAACCAGCCCUGCGAAAGGCCUAUGGGUGCUGUGCUCGACACCCUGCUCCUUUCACACAGCCCUGGCAGCCUGCAGGACCUGAAGACAUUGGGAAGGCUCCUAAAGCCUGUAAAGGGCUUCACAUCUACUGGGAACCCCCUACUUGCUAUGAGGCCUGGAACAAUGCACUGCCCUUGUCAGCCAGCGUUCCCACCCCUGUAGAAUGAGGACAUCGAACCAGGUUUCUGCUCCCAAAGCAAGGACUGGCUGAGUCACAAGCCUGGGGUUGCUCCUUAGCAAACCCAUUCCUGGGCUAAGCCCAAGAUUCUAUGUUAGUACCCCCAGGGUUGGGGCUGAGAAUCUGGAUUUUAAAAAAAUCACUCCUCCACCAGGCACGGUGGCUCAUGCCUGUAAUCCCAGCCCUUCGGGAGGCUGAGGCAGGCGAAUCACCUGAGGUCAGGAGUUUGAGACCAGCCUGGCCAACAUGGGGAAACUCUGUCUAUACUAAAAAUACAAAAAUUAGCUGGGUGUGCUGGCGUGCGCCUGUAAUCCCAGCUACUCAGGAGGAUAAGGCAGGAGAAUCGCAUGAACUCGGGAGGUGGAGGUUGCAGUGAGCCGAGAUCUCGCCAUUGCACUUCAGCCUGGGUGACAGAGUAAGACUCCAUCUCAAAAGCAUUUUAACAAACAAACAAAAACUCCUCCCAAGAUAUUCUGAUGCAACCAGAUUUGGGAAGCACUGGAACCAAAGAUGCUCAUUAGGGUUGCUGGUGGCUUUGACGUUGCAGGAGUCUGUGGUUCUGUGGGCAGGAAAGGAACCCCAGGAUGUUUUUUUUAGCAAGAGAAAAAAGUAAUUAUUUAUACAUGCAAUGCACAAUACACAUGGCAGUGCUCGGUGGUGAAUGACUCAAGGGGGUGGUUAGAAUUCGGGCUUAUUACCUAAUUUAGGAGAUGAAGGGGAGGAGGAGAAAGGGCACUUUUAGACAAGGUAAAUGGGCCCUAAGAAGAAUGGAGGGGGAUGUGAUAGUCUAAGCUUCUCUGGUCUAACCAUUGUGCUCAUAGCUCUGUCUCAAGCUCCCUGUCUGUUGCUCUCCUCAGAGGAGUGGCACUGAGCAAGACAGGCUAUGCCUCACUGCUGAAUUGUGCCAAGGCACCCGCAUUUCCCAGCCAAGCUUCCUUGGUUCACACCCAAUCUCGGCUCCUCACUAGCUGGGAGAGCAGGAGCAAGUGGCUUGGCCUUUCUGUAGCCCAGUUCCCUAACAUGAAAAAUGAGAUGAAGAGAAGAGCAAUGCUGCCUCCUCCUGGGGAUAGUUUGAGGAUUAUGAAAAUUAAGCCAGCCAGACGCGGUGGCUCACACCUGUAAUCCCAACGCUUUGGGAGGCCGAGGUGGGCAGAUCACCUGAGGUCAGGAGUUCAAGACCAGCCUGGCCAACGUGGCAAAAUCCCAUCUCUACUAAAAAUACAAAAAUUAGUUGGGCAUGGUGGCAGGUGCUUGUAGUCCCAGCUACUCAGGAGGCUGAGGCAGGAGAGUCUCUUGAACCUGGGAGGUGGAGGCUGCAGUGAGCCGAGAUCACGCCACUGCACUCAGUCUGGGGAACUAAGCGAGACUGUCUCAAAAAAAAAAAAAAAAAAAAAAGGAAAUAAAAUUAAGCCAUGGCCAUUAUUUUUAGUAACUGAGUGUUUGAAGCUUAUCACUUUGUGGAGUGGCUGGAGCAAGUCACUUGCUAACACGAGCUCGGGUGUUUGUGGAAAGGUUUUUCUCCAUUUUACAUAUGGAGGCUCGGGACUCUCCGGGGCCCAGCUGGGCUCCCUCCAUCCCCUCCUGUCUCCUGCAUCCCCUCCUGUCCCCAGCAUCGCCUCUUACUUGGUCCACAUGAUGGACGAUUCCCGGCUGUCUUCAGACCAAAUGCGGGCUGUCCAGUCGCCAACCGUCAGGAAGUUCUUCGGGUAGAAGGGGUUUCUCUGGAGGGCGUAGAUGGGGCCAUGAUGGCCCGGGAAGGUGCACACAAUCUUUUCAGCUGACGUCUUGGCCUUGCGGUUGCAGGAGAUGACGAUGCCCUGCUCGGUCCCCACCAUGAACUUGGUGGGCUGUGGAAGGAGUGACACAGGAGGGGAAGACUCCACGAACCAUCAAUUCUGGGAUUAGCGGGCAUGGACAGGAGCUUGCUUGGGGGGUCUGCAGGCGCUAGAAAGGCCCUCAGAUCAAGCCUUGGCAAGGGCUGUGGCCCCUCCUGGAGAGCAGUCCCCACUCUUCCCGGGCUCCUCAGACCCCAUCUUUUUGGAAGCUGCUCAAGGAGCCUGUGCUGAAUGAAGCCCUCCCUGGCUCCUCCAGUCCUGGAGGGUUGUCAGGUCACUAGCCCCCUCUGCAGAGCACCACUGUGUCCUCGAUGCAUUUGGCCAUAAAGAUCCUGAAUGUUUGUUUACAGAGAGAGUAAAGAAGACCCAGGGAGGGGAUGCAGGGUGGCCCACCCAGAUCACUCAUGGGAUGGGCAGAGCCUUCCCUGGCAAGACAGUGACAUUUGUCAUAGCAUUGUCCAGGCUGGUGUCCCUGAGAACUCAGAGCAGGUGACCAACCAGCACUCAGGAAGUUACCUGGCAGUCGGUGAUGUAACUCGUCCCCCUACCACUGGUGGGUGAGCUCUUUGAGGGGCACGAGCUUGUCUGACAUGGGUCCAUCGCCCACGAACUGAGCUUUAGUAGUUAUUCACUUCACUGCGGACUGAAUGCACAAAGGCUGGUCUCCUGACUCCUGGUCCAGUGCUCCCCUCGCGUCUCUGAGCAUGACCCCCUCCAUCACGCAAUGCCCUUCCUUGUUUACUGUUCUGUCUUAACUUCUGGGCUAGACUGAACAACCUCCACCAGCAGGGCCUGAGCCUACAAUGGUGCUGUGUCCUCAGCAUUCCAAAUGGAAAGAACAGCUGAGUGAGGUAGGGGAGGGGCACACUGAGGGGAGGGCCUUUGUCAACGGGCUCAGAUGUCCUCUGCAGCUGGUGAACCUGCCCCUAUAGAACUCCCAGGUUUUAGGCAGAGGUUGCAGUGAGCCGAGAUCAUGCCACUGCACUCCAGCCUGGCCUACAGAGCAAGGCCCUACCUCAAAAAAAAAAAAAAAAAAAAAAAAAAGAAAAAAGAAAAAGAAAAAAGAAAAGAAAAGAAAAAAGAACUCCUAGUUUAUUUAUUUAUUUCUCGAGACAGGUUCUGGCUCCAUUGCCCAGGCUGGAGUGCAGCAGUGCGAUCUCAGCUCACUGCAUCCUUGACCUUCUGGGCUCAAGCAGUACUCCCACCUCAGCCUCCCACGUAGGGACCACAAGCACACACCACCAGGGUCAGCUAAUUUUUGUAUUUUUGUAGAGAUGGAGUCUCCCUAUGUUGUCCAGACUGGUCUCAAACUCCUAAGCUCAAGUGAUCUGCACACAUCGGCUUCCCAAAGUGCUGGGAUUACAGACCUGAGCCACUGCACCUGGCCCCCCAGCUUUUUUAUUUUUAUUUUUUUAAAAAACAUAUUGUUUUAUUAUGCAGUUUUCUUCUACCAGAAAAUUACUAAAAUGAUAAAUAUAAAAUCUCUAGAAAAUACCCAGAACAUGGCCAGGUGUGGUGGUUGAGGCACGAGAAUCACUUGAACCUGGGAGGCAGAGGUUGCAGCGAGCCAAGAUCAUGUCACUGCACUCCAGGCUGGUCUUGAACUGCUGGGCUCAAGUGAUCCUGCCACCUCAGCCUCCCAAAGUGCUGGGAUUACAGGUGUGAGCCACGGCGCCUUGCCUCACAUUGAUAUUUUUCUUCUUUUUCUUUCCUUCCUUCCUUCCUUCCUUCCUUCCUUCCUUCCUUCCUUCCUUCCUUCCUUCCUUCUUUCCUUCCUUCUUUCCUUUUCUUUCCCUCUCUCUCCCUCUCUUUCUUUCUUUCUUUCUUGGUAAAGACUGGGCGGGCGGUGGGGGGGGUCUCAUUAUGUACCCAGGCUGGUCUUAAAUUCUUGGCCUCCCAAAGUGCUGGGAUUACAGGCGUGAGCCACCCUGCCCGACCUGAACUUUGAUAUUUCUUUGUCAUUCUCAGUGACUGAACACCGAGACCAUGCUUGUGCUCUGGUUUUCCAAGGAGCCUGCUUUGACCUCAUUUUCCUCUCCAGUACCUCUUCCUUCCCCAGAGGAAGGCAGGUGACCAGCCUAGGGACCCCGUGCCAGGCAGGGCCAGGACCUGGGUUGGAGUCCAGGCCUCCCGAUGUUGGUCCUGGGCGUGACCUUCCCCACAAAACAGGGCUUUUCUGGAAUUGUUCUGUCAAAAGAUUGCCCUCUGUGUUCAGCUGGGCCACUGGCCAAAAGAUGACUUGGUGCCAUGAUGACUAUGGUGUCCUUCUUCGAGAAGCUCUGCUGCCCCCUGCUGGAAAGUUGUUGUAAAGGCCACACACGUCUAGGAUGGCUGCAGUGAGGGUGGCCUCCCUGGGCUGGUGCUGGGUUCCACGAGCACCUGAUAUCCUAGCAAUGGCCUGUCUUUAGCCCUGGCUGCCCUGUCAAUGCAAGUCGGGGAAGGGACAGCAAGGGACACUCACCAAAGUAGAUUCGAACUCCAGGGAGAUGGCCCCCAAGGCAUUUUCCAACUGUUCCUUCUUGGUGAUGUCCAAGAUCACAACUUCAGUGGGCUCGCUCAUCUUUCGGAUGUCCCACCACAUGACCUGGUGGGAGGAGGGGCGACAGUGAGACUUCGAGGCCCUGUAUUUCCCCUGGCUUUUGCCUUCUCCGCCCUCACCCCACCGUCCUGGGGUCAGCCACUGGGCCACAAAGGAUGGAGCUCCCGGCAAUUCGUGGGAGCAAAUACACUUUGAGGAUUGCUGUUCUGUCCACAGUUCCCACACCUGGCUGAUCAUCAGAGUCGCCGGCAAGCUUCAUACAACCCAGAUGCUGAGGCCUCGCCCUCGACCUACUGAAUCAAAACCUCCAGGUGCAAGGCCAAGAAUCGGUAUAUGCCAAGACUCCCCACAAUAAGGCAAUAUCCGGCAAUGUUAAAAAUGCAUGUGUGCUCCGACCUAGAAGUCCCACUGCCAGCAAUGUCUGCUGUAGAUAUAUCCCCGCAUGUGUGCAACAAUCUGUGUAUAAAGA